CGGCAAUGGAGGAAACUCUGACCGAGCAACGCCGCGUGAAUGACGAAGUACUUCGGUAUGUAAAGUUCUUUUAUCAAGGAAGAAAAGCAAAUGGCGAACCAUUUGUUUGCCGGUACUUGAUGAAUAAGCCCCGGCUAAUUAUGUGCCAGCAGCCGCGGUAAGACAUAAGGGGCAAGUGUUAUCCGGAAUUAUUGGGCGUAAAGGGUGCGUAGGCGGUCUAGUAAGUCAGUGGUGUAAUGGCAACGCUUAACGUUGUCCGGCUAUUGAAACUGCUAAACUUGAGUUAGAUAGAGGCGAGUGGAGUUCCAUGUGUAGCGGUAAAAUGCGUAAAUAUAUGGAGGAACACCAGAGGCGUAGGCGGCUCGCUGGGUCUUAACUGACGCUGAGGCACGAAAGCGUGGGGAGCAAACAGGAUUAGAUACCCUGGUAGUCCACGCCGUAAACGAUGAGUACUAAGUGUCGGGUUAAACCGGUACUGAAGUUAACACAUUAAGUACUCCGCCUGAGUAGUACGUACGCAAGUAUGAAACUUAAAGGAAUUGACGGGACUCCGCACAAGCGGUGGAUCAUGUUGUUUAAUUCGAAGAUACCCGAAAAACCUUACCAGGUCUUGACAUGUUUGUGCAAAAUGAUAGUAAUAUCGUGGAGGUUACCAGAAACACAGGUGGUGCAUGGUUGUCGUCAGCUCGUGUCGUGAGAUGUUAGGUUAAGUCCUAAAACGAGCGAAACCCUUAUCGUUAGUUGCCAGCACGUUAUGGUGGGGACUUUAACGAGACUGCCAAUGAUAAAUUGGAGGAAGGUGAGGAUCACGUCAAAUCAGCAUGCCCCUUAUGACCUGGGCUACAAACGUGAUACAAUGGCUGUUACAAAGGGUAGCUGAA
Molecule: ribosomal RNA, 881 nt
Filed under: 'Solanum lycopersicum' phytoplasma (Saudi Arabia)
Lineage: Bacteria; Bacillati; Mycoplasmatota; Mollicutes; Acholeplasmatales; Acholeplasmataceae
Description: bacterial SSU rRNA
Rfam family: Bacterial small subunit ribosomal RNA
Source: RNAcentral